CGCGGAAGCGGAUUUCGGGAGCGAAGGUCCCCUCGGGGAAGCUGGACUCAGGAUCCAUCUUUACUUCCCUCCAAAGCUCCACCUACACCAAAUAUUAAGGCCGCAGCACUCUCUCAUUGCUGACCGCCUUGCUGCACUUUCUGCUGGCCACCUUCAGCUACCAGCACACUUAACAUUUCACGUGAUUCUGUUGGACAGCGUGAGUCCAGAGCCGAGUCAGUUCCUGCUUUGGGAGCAGAGGGUCCUCCGUGUGGGGUGUCCUGCCCGCGAGACCUUGGGCAGCAUCUCCAGCGUCGUCCACCAGAUGGCAGUAGCUCCCCUCUCUCCAACACGACUUUGCCAGAGUCCCCAAGGGCUUGGAGUAACCCCAUCUGUCCAUAUGCUGCAGGUACGUGGGGAGUUUCUUGCCUUUCGGGAGGUCUGAGGUCUUCUGCCAGCGUUCAGUAGGUGUUCUGUAGGAGUUGUUCCACGCGUAGAUGUAUUUCUGAUGUAUUUGUGGGGAGGAAGAUGAUCUCCGCGUCUUACUCUUCCGCCAUCUUGAAGCUCCCAAGCCAUGUGUUUUCUGCUGAUGAAAUUCAUAGAUGAGAUGUCACAGCCCAUAUGUUCACUUCAACUGACUUUCCAGGGUCUUCUGCGUUUCCACAAAGUUACAUAAUCGGAAAAUUAAUCUUCCAGCAGCUUCCAGCCGGUCGUCACACUGGGGUCUGAAAGGCGGAGCAGCCACCAGACUGUCAGCCCAGGAGCUCCACUGGGUGAAGGUGAGGAGGGCUGAGGCUGCCUCCUCACGUCUCCUUGCCUAUGAUGAGCUGACUCUCCCUGCAUCUUAUCCUCCUGGACCCAGCACCUCCUUUGGAGUCCCACGCCCACUGCUCCAACUCAAGUCCACGUUCUAGAACACCAUGUAGGUAACAGAGCCAAAGACAUAUCCGAUCGAUAUGACCAAACAAGAACUGACACUGGUGAUAAGGGGCGGGGGGGAGGUUACAGCACACGCCGAGGCUGCUGGAAAAGAAGGGAAUUCUUAAUAUGCAGUGGAAUGGAUGAACCUGGAGGACAUACGCCCAGGGAAAUGAGCCAUCACAGGACAAGCACACAUGAUCCCACUCACAUGGGGCAUCUGAAAGGGUCACAUUCAUGGGAUCAGGGACUGGAACGGUGGGCAUCAGGGCUGGGGAGGUGGAAGUGGGGAGGGACGUUAGUCAGAGAGACAGGAGCCGAACCGUACAUGGUGCCCGGAGUCGACAACACUGGAGUGGGGAGCCCGGCACCCGGCUGAGGCUGGCUGCUCCCACCUCAGACCAGAUGCUCUCAGGUGCCUGGCAGGGCAACUGUGUUGACUCUGUUAGGAAAUCCAUGGGCUUCCUUACAGGAGGUUACCUGUGAAGGUCUGUUUUUAGCUUCCCCUGUACCGUUUGCAUAAUUCUGGCACUUCCUGGCAUUCUCUCCCCUUGGGGUGCUGGCUUCUCCCUGUUCUGCCCACGGAGAUGUUAGGCCUGCAACUGGCUUCCCCUUCAAAGGUCUCAAAUACACCUGUCCCCCUUCACCGCGCAGCCCCAAGGGAUUGUGUUUGUCUUGUUUCCCUAAUUGGCAGGUUGCGUUCCUGCUGGGGAGAUGCAGCGUUUAGAAGGAUUAAGCAGGAUUGGUUUUCAGUCCCUUUGGUACAUUGUCCAAAGGCAUCUUUGCGUUUACUUUCGAUUUCACAAGCUGCUUCUUGCUGUUUAAACAGAUGAUUGUCCAGUAGGAAGUUUCAGCUGCAGCUGCUUCCUGCUUUGAAUCCCAGCCUCACAGAGUUUAUUUAAGUAAGAUUUUUCUCAACCUGUGAAGCACAAUUCCUAAGGCACAGAGGAGAAGCAAUGUCUGCACCUCAUCUGUACAAUGUGGUCGAGUGCCAAGUGCCACAGAAUGUCCCGCAGAGGCCACGGGGGAGUGACCCCUGGGGAAACGGUGCUCCAAGCUUGAUGUACUGUAACGUCGUAGGAAAGAGAAAGAAGUGCCACAAAUGAGGUCUUGUCACGGAUGGAGCUAGUGUAACCCUGGGAGACAGGAGGCUGCGGAAGAGCCUCCUGGGGAGGGGUCGGAGCUACUGAGACGGCUGAAGAAUAGAAGGAAGAAGAUACAGACGCAGAAAUGCCCUCUGGCCGAGUCAGCAAGGAGGGCACCGCCAGGAGCACGAGUUAUACACACGUUAUUUUCCCAUCAUCUCCACAUCAUUCCCUGGCCCCCGAGUCACUUAACCGCUUUGCACUGUGCGUGCUCAGCACCCUGAGUGACUUCAGGUUUGCUCCCUGUGUCCAGGACAGCGUUUCCCACCUGCUUCUCCUACUUCUGAUGGCGUCUGUAGGAGCUUUUCACCUCCUGGCUUCUUCCUCCUCCGUCUGCUCCUGAUCCUCUGUCCUUGUCCUGCAGUCUCUCCUUGGAGCCCUUACAGCUCUUCCUUCUGCUUUUUUCCUGGGAGAGCUUGUCUUGACUCUAAGUUUGUUUAGUGAUGUUAUUUCUUUGAGUGAUUUCUUAUUUCUUUGUCUUUUUGCAUUUUUGAAAAAAAAUUAAAGAUACAGGAAAAGUAUAAAGAAUUUUUACAAAACACAUUGUUUCCAUAACGCAAAUUUAACUAUAUAUUUUGUCAUACUUGUUUCUAAUCCUUUUAAAAGAAAAAAUACAUAAUAGAUAUAGCUUAGGAAUCCUUUACGAACAACACAGAGGCCUGUCCUCACUCACCCAGUGGUAAACAGUUUGGUGGUUUGUAUUUUUAUAUUCCUUUUUUAAAAAUUUACAUAUGUACAUGUGUCCAUUAUACAAACUUAUUUUUGAAAGUGUUACUUUACAUUAAGUGGCACCAUGCUGUAUUAAUUAUUCUGCCCCUUUCUCUUUCACACUAUGUUCGUGAUCACAAAGUCCUAUAUUACCUAUAUUUCAUCCUACUAGUUUUUGGUUGGUCACAUUUAGGCUUUAAUUUGUCGUAUUCAUAAAGCAGGAUUCUUGUUUAACAGGUUUUCCUGAUAAAGAGACCCAGUCUCCCCACAUUAUAUAUUGAAUGUCCGUGUUUCCUACUGACCUGUGACGUCACCACCAUCAGAUUACCAAAUUCCCAAAUACACACAAGACUGCUUCUGAGCUCUCCUUUUCCCUUGGUCUGUUUUUCUACUGCUGUACUGUUGUCACAAUCUUUAUGACUGUACCUUUGAUAUAUUCACUUUCUUGUAAAUUCUCCCAAUUUGGCUUUUUCUCAAAAAAAGAGUUUUUGGUAUUUUUGCUUCUCAAAUUUUUUUAACCUUAUAUUAUAGAAAAUUUUAAACAUACAAAAAUAGACCCAAUAGGAUAGCCCAAUUCCAGCUGCAGUGAUAAUCAAUUCAUGCCCGAUCUGUUUUCAUCUAUGCCUCCCCCUUGGUCCCCCCACCCCUGCCCCAUAUUCUUCUGAAGCCAAUUACAGGUAGUAUAUCAUUCCAAGCAUUUCUUUUUUUUUUUUAAUUUUAUUUAUUUAUUUAUUUUUGGAUGCAUUGGGUCUUUGUUGUGGUGUGCGGGCUUCUCACUGUGGUGCCUUCUCUUGUUGCAGAGCAUGGACUCUAGGCGUGCAGGCUUCAGUAGUUGUGGCAUGCAGGCUCAGUAGCUGUGGCUCUCGGGCUCAGUAGUUGUGGCUCGCGGGCUUAGUUGCUCCACGGCAUGUGGGAUCUUCCCGGACCAGGGCUCGAACCCAUGUCCCCUGCAUUGGCAGGCGGAUCCUUAACCACUGCACCACCAGGGAAGCCCCCAGGGAAGCCCCCAAGCAUUUCUUAAGCUAUUUCUUUACACAUAUUCUCUAAAAUCAGUUUUUUAAGUUCCCCAUAUAUUUUGAUGGAGUUUUGAUUGAAUUUUCAUUGAAUUUAAAGAUUUUGGAGAAUUCACUUACAAAAUUGAAUCUUUCUAUCCACGAAAUUGGGUAAAAUUUCUAACCGUGAAAUUUUUCCCCAUUUAUUAAAUUCUUCCUUUAUAUUUUUUAGUAACACGCUUGUUGUUUUCUCUGUGAAGAUCUUGCACGUUUGUUAGAUUUUGCCGCAACUAUGAAUGCCAUAGAUUUUGCUGUGGCUAUGAAUGAUGCAGUUUAAAUUAUAAUUCCCACUUGGUUAUUGCUACUGUAAAGAAAUGAUAUGAAUUUUGUGCAUUGCUCUUGUCCUCUGCAAAUCUUGCUAAACUUUUAUUUUUUUAUUUUAUUUUUUAAUAAAUUUAUUUAUUUUUGGCUGCGUUGGGUCUUCGUUGCUGCACACGAGCUUUCUCUAGUUGCGGCGAGCGGGGGCUACUCUUUGUUGCGGUGCGUGGGCUUCUCAUUGCGGUGGCUUCUCUUGUUGCGGAGCACAGGCUCUAGGCAUGCGGGCUUCAGUAGUUGUGGCACACGGGCUCAGUAGUUGUGGCUCACGGGCUCUAGAGUGCAGGCUCAGUAGCUGUGGCGCACAGGCUUAGUUGCUCCGUGGCUCGUGGGAUCUUCCUGGACCAGGGCUCGAAGCCGUGUCCCCUGCAUUGGCAGGCAGAUUCUUAACCACUACACCACUAGGGAAGCCCUAAACUUUUAUUAAUCUGAGUAGUUUAUUCAUAGAUUCUCUUGGAUUUUAUAGAUAGACAAUCGUAUCAUCUGCAAGAAAAUGAUAGCUUUGCUUUCUCUCAUCCCUUAUAACUCAUGGUUUUAAUUUUUUAUUUUACUGCAAAGGCUUGUUCUCCAGUGCACUGUUGAGAAGAGUAGUGAUAACUGGCUGUCGCGCUUGUCCCUCACGUUCAUGACUCUUGUACAUUCCCCAUCUGCCUAACAUCUUCUCCCUACCCAGCUGGGCAGCAUGUCUCCACCUGGCCCCGAGCUGACUCUGGGCAGUCAGCAUUCAUCUUUGAGGGAAGUGGGUCUGCUGAGCCAGGCUGGUCCUGAAGGCCCGUGGGGGCAGGGACAGGGCUGAGCUGCAGAGAGACCACGACACCACCUGGGUUUGCUGUCGUCCCCUGCAGGAUCCCCUAAUUCACACAGGGUGACGGUGGCCACACCCUCCCCGCCCACCUCCCCUUGGCCGACUCUUAGCUAAAAGGCUGGGUCAUAGGCCAAAGAACUAGCACGCAGACUGGCCUUCAGUUUUACCUCCCGCCAUGUGAGAGGGGUCUCAGCUCCCCCUUCUCAGGCCCAUCAGCCCAGGGAAGCCCUACCUACCUCUGGGACAGAGCCAGGGUCCACGACCAGUUCAAACAGGGGUAGGCAUCGCCAGCCGAGCGGUGCAUGGAUUUGCCCAGGCCCUCAUCCCUGAUGCAUGACGGGUCCCCGAGACGCCACCGCUUUCUCUCCCCUGCCCUGCUCCUUGCCUUCGGUGUGUGGCAGGGACAGGACGCUCAGAUGGGGUGAGGGGCAGGCGACCCUGGGGUGCGGGAGACCCUGGGCGUUCAUGCUUCCUUAGCUCCUUCCCCUCCUGCCCCUGAUUCCCAGAGUUGUAAAACUCUGGGUUGUAAAACGUGGGUUCCAUUUCCCAGCUUCCUGUACAGUGAUGUUGAGAGGGCCCAGGAGUCCGCUUUUCCAUAUUCUCACCUCAAGACAUUUGAACAGUUAAUACUUUAGCAGCAGAAGAUAAGCCACCACAUAAGCAGUAAGUUUCUUGGUUAGAAAACAAGCCAUCAGAGAAAAAAUAGUUUUUGCGGAGAAGGAGGAAUAGUGGGUGGGCUGAGUUUUUAUCUUUUGUAUAGUAGAUAAGAUAUGUCUGCACAACGGCAGCUAACAUUUUCAAAUAGGAAGGCAUAUGAUUAAAUCUCUUUUGAUGUUAUCUGCAAAUUGUUUCUCUGAGCUCCGCUUCCAAAGGGUAGCUCUCCAGUUAGAGUCAGAGAUGAUUAUUGUGAAGUUAGCCCUCACUGUCUACUGCUUAGACAGGUGACUUCCUCUUUAAAGCGCUAAUUAGCCCUACAUGCAGUAUCUUGUAUCGUAUGGGACCUUCAGCAUUUUGUUCUUUUCUAAUUAGAAUCAUCUCUCCUCAUGCUUCUCCAAUAAAAUGGAGAAACUGUUGGGAGUUCUUUGCUGCUCCCUCCCAAGGCCCCUGUGAUCUGCCACGAGGCGUGGACAGUCCUGCCGCUGCGGCUCCCCUGCCCCCGGGCAGUUCAUUCCAUCCCCAGGGCUGAUGAUUUAGUAAGUUCAUUUCCACUCAGCAAAUUUACUAACACCUCUCUUGAAGUAAUAGAUUGUUCACUCUUGACGACUUGUUAUUAUUAUUGAAAUGGACCUUAAAUUAGGGUCAGGGAUCCCUAAACCUCUAAUGGUCACUAGUGAGCAAAACGAAGGUUAAGGAGUGAGGACAUGUUAGGUACGAUGUCCUCACACCUUCGUUUUGCUCACUAGUGACCCUUAGAGAUCAGUUUAGAGACUCUUGAUGUUAGGUCCUUGUUUUGAAGGGUUAAUUAAAUGACAUUAUAUAAACCACCUUGACGUGCUUUAAAAAACAUUUCCAUCCCUCUUUUCCGAGUGAACUCCAGUUCCUGGCCGAUCCACGGGUGACGGCUGUGCUGUGGCUUUGGCGUGGGGCCUUCUGACAGCUGUGCUGACGAGGACAGUGUGUGGCUCUCGGGGACGCUCACAGUGCACCGGGCUCUGCCCAAGUCCGAAGAAGACUGAUCACCGUGCACUCAGCCAUCACUACACUG
Molecule: non-coding RNA, 6627 nt
Organism: Globicephala melas (long-finned pilot whale)
Lineage: Eukaryota; Metazoa; Chordata; Mammalia; Artiodactyla; Delphinidae
Source: RefSeq, a predicted model, not a curated record